GUGAGUGAUGAAGGCUUUCGGGUCGUAAAACUCUGUUGUUAGGGAAGAACAAGUGCUAGUUGAAUAAGCUGGCACCUUGACGGUACCUAACCAGAAAGCCACGGCUAACUACGUGCCAGCAGCCGCGGUAAUACGUAGGUGGCAAGCGUUAUCCGGAAUUAUUGGGCGUAAAGCGCGCGCAGGUGGUUUCUUAAGUCUGAUGUGAAAGCCCACGGCUCAACCGUGGAGGGUCAUUGGAAACUGGGAGACUUGAGUGCAGAAGAGGAAAGUGGAAUUCCAUGUGUAGCGGUGAAAUGCGUAGAGAUAUGGA
RNAcentral lists this ribosomal RNA (310 nucleotides) under Bacillus sp. B3(2008b). RNAcentral's name for it is "bacterial SSU rRNA". It matches the Rfam family "Bacterial small subunit ribosomal RNA", at positions 401 to 702 of the family's 1533-position model. The record is from RNAcentral. Lineage: Bacteria; Bacillati; Bacillota; Bacilli; Caryophanales; Bacillaceae.